GGAUGCGAGGUGAUCUGACGGUGGCAUUUGUCACCCCUUGGCCACCAGGUUGAUUUGACUGAUUUGGCUGGGUCAGCAGGUACUCCUUUCCUCUCUCGCCCCCACACGCAUCCCUCCCAAAGCUGCACGCCUGGUGGAAGCGGACAGCCUUAUCGGACAGAAGAGGACGAUUCCAUGGUCCAUGGUGUUUGUGUAGCAGCGUUCCCCUGCUAGAACCUCCAAGCAAGCUCUCCAGUUUGCAUGCAGCUAAUUCCACACCGUGUCUCAACGUUGGUGGUCCUUG
This 283-nucleotide small nuclear RNA is filed under the name Tupaia belangeri chinensis (Chinese tree shrew). RNAcentral describes it as "Tupaia chinensis (Chinese tree shrew) 7SK RNA". It matches the Rfam family "7SK RNA", at positions 1 to 249 of the family's 331-position model. Rfam says of the family: 7SK was discovered as an abundant small nuclear RNA in the mid-70s but a possible function has only recently been suggested. Two independent studies have found that 7SK RNA binds the CDK9/cyclin T complex (known as elongation factor P-TEFb). The record is from Rfam by way of RNAcentral. Lineage: Eukaryota; Metazoa; Chordata; Mammalia; Scandentia; Tupaiidae.